ACGGCUCAGUAACACGUGGACAACCUACCCUGAGGUCGGGGAUAAACCCGGGAAACUGGGUAUAAUACCCGAUAGAUCUAGAUCGCUGGAAUGCUUUUAGGUCUAAAGUUCCGACGCCUCAGGAUGGGUCUGCGGCCUAUCAGGGUAGUAGUGGGUGUAAAGUACCUACUAGCCUACGACGGGUACGGGUUGUGAGAGCAAGAGCCCGGAGAUGGAUUCUGAGACACGAAUCCAGGCCCUACGGGGUGCAGCAGGCGCGAAACCUUUACAAUGCUGGCAACAGCGAUAAGGGGACCUCGAGUGCUACGAUACAAUCGUGGCUGUCUAGUUGCCUAAAAAGCAAUUGAUAGCAAGGGCCGGGCAAGACCGGUGCCAGCCGCCGCGGUAACACCGGCGGCUCGAGUGGUAACCGCUAUUAUUGGGUCUAAAGGGUCUGUAGCCGGCUUAGUUAGUCUCUUGAGAAAUCUGGCCGCUCAACGGUCAGGCGUUCAGGGGAUACUGCUAAAGCUCGAGACCGGGAGAGGUGAGAGGUACUUCAGGGGUAGGGGUGAAAUCUUGUAAUCCUUGAAGGACCACCAGUAGCGAAGGCGUCUCACCAGAACGGAUCUGACGGCAAGGGACGAAAGCUAGGGGCACGAACCGGAUUAGAUACCCGGGUAGUCCUAGCCGUAAACGAUACUCGCUAGGUGUCGGCCACGGUGCGACCGUGGUCGGUGCCGUAGGGAAGCCGUGAAGCGAGCCACCUGGGAAGUACGGCCGCAAGGCUGAAACUUAAAGGAAUUGGCGGGGGAGCAC
RNAcentral lists this ribosomal RNA (795 nucleotides) under uncultured archaeon. RNAcentral describes it as "bacterial SSU rRNA". It matches the Rfam family "Archaeal small subunit ribosomal RNA", at positions 85 to 879 of the family's 1478-position model. The record is from RNAcentral.